CUUUAUACUAACCUUUAAGGUUUGCAACCAGAUAUUCUUUCGGUAUUUUUCUGUUUCAUUUGUUUCGUAAGUCUUGUUGUAUUGGUUUUUGAACUUUUCCCAUUCGUCCCCCAUGCCUGAAUCGCUGUCUGCGCCACAGUUGGCAAAUAGACUUGCGCAAAUCAAAGCAGCAAUGGCCAAUGUGUUCAUUUUCAAUGGUAGAGAGCCUGAGAGACUAUCCGAUUAACAGGUCGGGUUUCCAGAAUUUAUCU
This is a non-coding RNA of Paramuricea clavata, 251 nucleotides long. Lineage: Eukaryota; Metazoa; Cnidaria; Anthozoa; Malacalcyonacea; Plexauridae. The record is from the annotation of a GenBank genome assembly.